CCAGCCAUCCCGCGUGAAGGACGACGGCCCCUAUGGGUUGUAAACUUCUUUUGUAUAGGGAUAAACCUACCCUCGUGAGGGUAGCUGAAGGUACUAUACGAAUAAGCACCGGCUAACUCCGUGCCAGCAGCCGCGGUAAUACGGAGGGUGCAAGCGUUAUCCGGAUUUAUUGGGUUUAAAGGGUCCGUAGGCUGAUGUGUAAGUCAGUGGUGAAAUCUCACAGCUUAACUGUGAAACUGCCAUUGAUACUGCAUGUCUUGAGUGUUGUUGAAGUAGCUGGAAUAAGUAGUGUAGCGGUGAAAUGCAUAGAUAUUACUUAGAACACCAAUUGCGAAGGCAGGUUACUAAGCAACAACUGACGCUGAUGGACGAAAGCGUGGGGAGCGAACAGGAUUAGAUACCCUGGUAGUCCACGCCGUAAACGAUGCUAACUCGUUUUUGGGCUUUUGGGUUCAGAGACUAAGCGAAAGUGAUAAGUUAGCCACCUGGGGAGUACGUUCGCAAGAAUGAAACUCAAAGGAAUUGACGGGGGCCCGCACAAGCGGUGGAUUAUGUGGUUUAAUUCGAUGAUACGCGAGGAACCUUACCAAGGCUUAAAUGGGAAAUGACAGGCUUAGAAAUAGGCUUUUCUUCGGACAUUUUUCAAGGUGCUGCAUGGUUGUCGUCAGCUCGUGCCGUGAGGUGUUAGGUUAAGUCCUGCAACGAGCGCAACCCCUGUCACUAGUUGCCAUCAUUCAGUUGGGGACUCUAGUGAGACUGCCUACGCAAGUAGAGAGGAAGGUGGGGAUGACGUCAAAUCAUCACGGCCCUUACGCCUUGGGCCACACACGUAAUACAAUGGCCGGUACAGAGGGCAGCUACACAGCGAUGUGAUGCAAAUCUCGAAAGCCGGUCUCAGUUCGGAUUGGAGUCUGCAACUCGACUCUAUGAAGCUGGAAUCGCUAGUAAUCGCGCAUCAGCCAUGGCGCGGUGAAUACGUUCCCGGGCCUUGUACACACCGCCCGUCAAGCCAUGGAAGUCUGGGGUACCUGAAGUCGGUGACCGUAACAGGAGCUGCCUAGGUAAACAGAAAG
This 1073-nucleotide ribosomal RNA is filed under the name Chryseobacterium oranimense. RNAcentral describes it as "bacterial SSU rRNA". It matches the Rfam family "Bacterial small subunit ribosomal RNA", at positions 388 to 1473 of the family's 1533-position model. The record is from RNAcentral. Lineage: Bacteria; Pseudomonadati; Bacteroidota; Flavobacteriia; Flavobacteriales; Weeksellaceae.